UACGUAGGGGGCAAGCGUUGUCCGGAAUCAUUGGGCGUAAAGAGCGUGUAGGCGGCCAGAAAAGUCCGCUGUGAAAACUCGAGGCUCAACUUCGAGCUGUCGGUGGAAACUUUCUGGCUAGAGUCCGGAAGAGGAGAAUGGAAUUCCUGGUGUAGCGGUGAAAUGCGCAGAUAUCAGGAAGAACACCCGUGGCGAAGGCGGUGCUCUGGGACGGUACUGACGCUGAGACGCGAAAGCGUGGGGAGCGAACAGG
This 253-nucleotide ribosomal RNA is filed under the name uncultured bacterium. RNAcentral describes it as "partial 16S ribosomal RNA". It matches the Rfam family "Bacterial small subunit ribosomal RNA", at positions 524 to 776 of the family's 1533-position model. The record is from RNAcentral.